Long non-coding RNA from Sebastes umbrosus (honeycomb rockfish), 316 nucleotides. RefSeq lists it as uncharacterized. NCBI's taxonomy places the organism in Eukaryota, Metazoa, Chordata, Actinopteri, Perciformes, Sebastidae. The transcript is spliced from 3 exons. The record is from RefSeq and is a predicted model, not a curated record.
AUCGUCGUCGUCCGACUGGGUCGCCCCCUCGGAGUUACAGCGGGUGAGGAAGUCGGAGCGCGUCCGGGACAUUCGCGCUUUCUUUUUGGGGACGGGGCGGCCCACCUGCUACCAGGCAACCACAGGGACAUCAGUCAUGUUGUUAUCCGGGUCAUGUGAUCGCCUCCCAUUGGUUGCUGAUACUAUAAAGGUGCGCAUUAGACAACUAUUAUAACAGACUGAUAGCUCUCAUUCACCUGAGUCGAGCCAGGUGUCCCCUGCCCAUCGCCUGCAGCUGCAUCACAGUCCUGUACGUCCGACAGUAGCGGCUCCUCUC